Non-coding RNA from Phascolarctos cinereus (koala), 545 nucleotides. The record is from RefSeq and is a predicted model, not a curated record. NCBI's taxonomy places the organism in Eukaryota, Metazoa, Chordata, Mammalia, Diprotodontia, Phascolarctidae.
UGAGGGUCUAGACAAGAGGAGAGUGAUGCUGAGGGCCAGAGGACACUGGGCUGGGCCAAGGUUCUUGAGAUCUUAUAUCUAUUUUCACUUGGAACAGCAAAAAUGAAGACAGCAUCAUCACUGAUUGUGCUCAUUGUGAUCGUUGUGGCUUGCUUCUCAUUCAGUGAAUGUCAGGAGAGGACAGGAUGGUCAACUCCAUUACUACCACUACCCCCAACGGCAUCGGCCAUAUCCACCACUACCACCAGGAGCAGUGUGGCAGCUACUACCAGGCCCAAACAGAUUUCCUCCCUUUUGUGGGCCUCGCUUUCCUCCUUACCCCCACCUUAAUCCCAAUACGCCUUACCCUCGAAGACCAAGGCCCACUUCCCCUCCUCCUAAUCCUGUUGUUAAUGGUACCACUCCUCAAUAGCCCAUCACUACCAACACCACUGCUCCCAACCGCCCCCCAACCACUCCCUCUAUUACCAAUCAAACGGUAAGCCAAAAUCAAACCACUACUCCCAGCCAAACUUCCCCAAACGCCACUACUGUUUAUAUUUUUG